Molecule: long non-coding RNA, 205 nt
Organism: Neopsephotus bourkii (Bourke's parrot)
Lineage: Eukaryota; Metazoa; Chordata; Aves; Psittaciformes; Psittacidae
Exons: 2
Source: RefSeq, a predicted model, not a curated record
ACUUCAAAAUAUCACAACUACAGAAAAAUCCAUCAGUUUAUAUGCAUCAGAAGCAACUACAGGUAUUUCUUACCAAUGGAUACCUGUAUGGUUAUCUGGAUCGUCUGGGACAUUAGCCACCAGUAUUGACUAGGUUUAAGUCAAUACUGCUACGUGUAACUUCAAAAAAGAUAUGUUGAAAUGAAACUUUUGAACUUUUCCUACA